This 492-nucleotide ribosomal RNA is filed under the name uncultured bacterium. RNAcentral's name for it is "partial 16S ribosomal RNA". It matches the Rfam family "Bacterial small subunit ribosomal RNA", at positions 29 to 507 of the family's 1533-position model. The record is from RNAcentral.
AGUGAGCGCUGGCGGUAGGCCUAACACAUGCAAGUCGAACGGCAGCACAGUAAGAGCUUGCUCUUACGGGUGGCGAGUGGCGGACGGGUGAGGAAUUCAUCGGAAUCUACUUUUUCGUGGGGGAUAACGUAGGGAAACUUACGCUAAUACCGCAUACGACCUACGGGUGAAAGCAGGGGAUCUUCGGACCUUGCGCGAUUGAAUGAGCCGAUGUCGGAUUAGCUAGUUGGCGGGGUAAAGGCCCACCAAGGCGACGAUCCGUAGCUGGUCUGAGAGGAUGAUCAGCCACACUGGAACUGAGACACGGUCCAGACUCCUACGGGAGGCAGCAGUGGGGAAUAUUGGACAAUGGGCGCAAGCCUGAUCCAGCCAUACCGCGUGGGUGAAGAAGGCCUUCGGGUUGUAAAGCCCUUUUGUUGGGAAAGAAAAGCAGCAGGUUAAUACCCCGCUGUUCUGACGGUACCCAAAGAAUAAGCACCGGCUAACUUCGUG